CCCAAAAUUUCUCAAGAACUCUCCUUAGGGUUUCAAAAUAAAAACCCAAAUAGUUCAAGAUUCUACCGUAGGUUUUCGAAGAUAAUUACAUAUUUGGAAUUACCAAUCCGCAAGCUUCAAGAAACAUCUAGUAUCUUCGGAAAUAGAGGUACGUGGGGUUAUACAAAAAUCUCAUGAGUGUAGUUUUUAUGAACAUGCAUGCUUUUAAAUGGGGGUUUUCAAUCAAAUGCUAAUAUCUUGCUUUCAAUACGAUUUCUAAGUCGUUUUCUUUAUGUCAUGGGAAUUGUUUGCCUAUAUACUUCAUUGGUUGAAAAUAUGCAUAAGUGAUUUGAGAUUUUCC
Molecule: long non-coding RNA, 340 nt
Filed under: Capsicum annuum
Lineage: Eukaryota; Viridiplantae; Streptophyta; Magnoliopsida; Solanales; Solanaceae
Description: long non-coding RNA (CANN_LNC009810)
Source: RNAcentral